Molecule: long non-coding RNA, 2378 nt
Filed under: Homo sapiens (human)
Lineage: Eukaryota; Metazoa; Chordata; Mammalia; Primates; Hominidae
Description: HSALNT0221316
Source: RNAcentral
CUUGGACAGGUGAAAGUCAGCAAGCUUCCCAGUAGACCAAUUGAUCUGAGUUGCCUCUCUGGCCAGAAGCCAGCCCUGGCAGGGAUCCAACUUCCUCUCAAGCACUGAGAAAGGGCUCAGGUGUAUCUGGUGGCCGGCAGAGCAGGUAGUCAGCCAAGGCUUCAUAGUUCUCACCCACGGCAAUUCAGCUAGCAAACUAGAGACACUUCCCCAAGAAGACACAGCGUGGCAAGACUGCUGAGACGCAUAAAGAAAUCUUAGCUGGUUUCCUGGUUGAAUGUUCUGUUGUAGAAGAAUGCAACUGAGUUUUCUAAACAGAUCUUCUUCUUGACAUCCUUGCUGAACGAGAGCAAAGGAGACAGCUGGGAGCAGAUGGGCAAAUCCCAGUUUGCCCAAAGAAAUGUCUAUUUUCCAAGGGGCAUGAAGAAUUUAGGAAUAAAGCAGAUCUGAUUUCUAAUUCUGACUUUGCUACUGGCAAAUUGUGUGGACUCAGGAAAGUGACCGGCCCUCUUUAAGACUCAGUGUGCUUACCUCUGAAAUGGAGCUGUCAAUCACAUCUGCCUCACAGGCUUGUUCUGAGGAUGAAGUGAGAAAAUGCCCACGAGGUGCUGGUUGCAGCAGCUGGUGCAUAGCCUCCCUGCAGGGGUGAGGGAAGACUGCAAAGGUACAAGAAUGGAUGUUGAGGCUGUCCAGGCAUCUCGCGUCUGAAUGCGCGAGAUGCUAGCCCUGCAUCUCCCAGCUGGAGAACUGCACUCAGUUUGUCUCCUCAUCUGAGCUUAAAAAGGAUGCAGUCCCAAAACAUAGAAGGAUUUACUCCAGAUCCAAGCAAUGAGUCAGGAACAGAAAGCCUGAUGCCCUCACCUGGAACUCUCCCUCCUCCCUGGAUGAGGACCUUCCCCAGAAUUGCAGGGCACCCACACAAGACCAAGCAAGUUCAGAGAAAAUUGAAACCUGACUUUAGAGCCUCUGGGAUGUUCACUACACCUCAUUGAACCUGUUUGGUUCACAGAGCUCCAACUACCGUCUACUUCCUGCAACUGGCCUGCUGCCAACUCCCCAGAUCUCUUGUGGAGCUGCCGGAAGAGACAGCCUGCCACAGAAGAAAGCAGCCCUCCUCUUUCAUGGCCUCCCACAUCUUGAAACAAACACAAGCAAACAAAACAAAAGCUUGAGUCCCAGCCUGAUUCACCAGGUUUGGUUCCCAAUUGUUGAAAUUCCCUUCCCAGGGCUCUCAGAACCAGGGUUGGCUGGAGGGGUGAAAGAGGCUGGCCCUGAGCCCAGUAAUAGGACACCAAGGGGGAGCUAAAAGCUGGGAUCUGGGGUGAAGAUGGGGUCUUCCAAGCUGGGAGGCAGACACCAGGCCAGAGCAACCGGCCUGCCCCAGCUCAGGCCUCUUAACCCAUGCAGGGCAAGAGUAUAAACAGAGGCCACGGACCACAUGCCUCAGUAUUUAAACUUAUAAAUCAAGCUAACAUAACAUGAAAUCAAAUAUGUUCUAUCCUCCUAGCUUGACAAAUACUUUCAUAACGAGAUGGAAUGCCAGGUUCAGAUUUAGAAUUUUCACACUCCUUAAAGUUCCAAGUCAAAAUACAGCAUUAGGGGAGGGCCCCCAACCUCGAGGUCUCCCCUCCCCCAUUUUCUUUCACUCCCAGCUCUGUCUCACACCACGAGGGAUCUUGGGUGAAUGCCCCUCGAUACCCCAGCCCCCCACAAACAGCUGCCCUUUCCCCCCUUGGCCAAGGGUAAGCACAGCAGCAGGGCAGUCUGCCCUUGGCUGGAGAGAUGGAAGGAGAGGCCACACGGGCCCUGAAAAUGCAUUUGGGGACUCUUGGGCAGGAAACUUGGGAGUUUCUGGAGCCUCAAGGAGGGUCUAGUGGGACAGAGCCACUUGGGCCCAUGAGAUCCUUGACCCAUGGAGAAGGGUAGGGCUAGAGGAGGGCCAGGGCAGGCCCUAUGAACAGAAGAACCUAGAGUAACUGCCCUGUCCCCAGAUCCUGUCACCGAGCAGGUAUACUUGGGAGGGUAUUGGAGGGUGGAACCCAAGGGAGCUUGCCCAAGGCACUAGGAAAGAAAAGUGUAAACCUUGUUAGAGAAUGCUAAGGAUAGCUGUUAAAGCCUCAGAGAUUUUACUCAUUUUUGGCUGUUUCUAAAAAUCUUCCCCCAAAGGAAGAUCUUGCUCUCAUUGAGGAUCUGAGAAAGAAUUCUCUCCAAGUAGUUUCAAAACAUUCUGAUGUAAAAACUCUGGUGUGUUAGUCAAAAAUAAAUUUUGUUGCUUGAUGGCUUCACCAUUCACAAAAUAUUCUAUCCAUCCAAUUUAAAAAUAAGAGCAGGGUAUUUAAAACUCUUUCAAUAAACACAAAUUAAAACAAUGAAGCUUG